GUGGGCCUGACGUGGAG
This 17-nucleotide microRNA is filed under the name Rattus norvegicus (Norway rat). RNAcentral's name for it is "rno-miR-770-3p". Its record names the gene rno-miR-770-3p. Lineage: Eukaryota; Metazoa; Chordata; Mammalia; Rodentia; Muridae. The record is from miRBase by way of RNAcentral.